AGUGGAUGGGGAGCAACCUAGUUGUGCGUGUGUAAAGGUAGUGCCAAGAAAAGCGAUGAUCAUGUUGAAAAUCAAUUCCCGGUACCCGAAACCGACACAGGUGGGCAAGUAGAGAAUACUAAGGGGCGCGAGGUAACUCUCUCCAAGGGACUCGGCAAAAUGACCCCGUAACUUAGGGAGAAGGGGUGCCACCGAGAGGUGGUCGCAGUGAAGAGGCCCAGGCGACUGUUUAGCAAAAACAUAGGUCUCUGCAAACUCGAAAGAGGAGGUAUAGGGGCUGACGCCUGCCCAGUGCCGGAAGGUUAAAGAAGUUGGUCAGUCUUAGGAUGAAGCUAGCGACUGAAGCCCCGGUGAACGGCGGCCGUAACUAUAACGGUCCUAUGGUAGCGAAAUUCCUUGACGGGUAAGCUCCGACCCGCACGAAAGGCGUAACGAUCUGGGCGCUGUCCCGGAGAGAGGCUCGGCGAAAUAGGAUUGUCUGUGAAGAUACGGACUACCUGCAUUUGGACAGAAAGACCCUAUGAAGCUUUACUAUAGCUUGGAAUUGUGUUCGGGCUUCCUGUGCGCAGGAUAGGUGGGAGGCGUAGAAGGUAUUCUUGUGGGGAUACUGGAGCCAACGGUGAGAUACCACUCUCAGGAGGCUAGAAUUCUAACUUAAUUAAGGACAGUUUCAGGUGGGUAGUUUGACUGGGGCGGUCACCUCCAAAAAGGUAACGGAGGCGUACAAAGGUUCCCUCAGACUGGUUGGAAAUCAGUCGAAGAGUGCAAAGGCAAAGGGAGCUUGACUGCGAGAAGUACAGUUCGAGCAGGGUGGAAACACGGUCUUAGUGAUCCGACGGUGCUGUGUGGAAGGGCCGUCGCUCAACGGAUAAAAGUUACUCUAAGGAUAACAGGCUGAUCUCCCCCAAGAGUUCACAUCGACGGGGAGGUUUGGCACCUCGAUGUCGGCUCAUCGCAACCUGGGGCGGAAGUACGUCCCAAGGGUUGGGCUGUUCGCCCAUAAAGCUGUACGUGAGCUGGGUUCAGAACGUCGUGAGACAGUUCGGUCCAUAUCCGAUGUAGGCGUGAGAAUAUUGAGAGGAGCCUUCCUUAGUACGAGAGGACCGGGAAGGACGCACCGCUGGUGUACCUGUUAUGAUGCCAAUUGUAAACGCAGGGUAGCCAAGUGCGGAGAGGAUAACCGCUGAAAGCAUCUAAGUGGGAAGCCCACCUCAAGAUGAGUAUUCUUGUGUAAGGUCACGGGAAGACGACCCGUAAAUAGGCACGAGGUGGAAGUGCAGAGAUGUAUGAAGCCGAAGUGUACUAAUAGACCGUCGGCUUGACC
RNAcentral lists this ribosomal RNA (1324 nucleotides) under metagenome. RNAcentral describes it as "bacterial LSU rRNA". It matches the Rfam family "Bacterial large subunit ribosomal RNA", at positions 1561 to 2925 of the family's 2925-position model. The record is from RNAcentral.